CUUUGUGGUGGGCCGUGCGGGCAACCUUCGGGUUGGCCGGUUUUCCUCAUCUUGUCCGGUAUUUGUAACCUCGCACUGCCCGCCUCCCCA
RNAcentral lists this non-coding RNA (90 nucleotides) under Candidatus Kentrum sp. FM. The record is from RNAcentral. Lineage: Bacteria; Pseudomonadati; Pseudomonadota; Gammaproteobacteria.